GACAGAGGUCCCGAGCGUUAGGCGGAAUCACUGGGCUUAAAGCGUGUGUAGGCGGAUCGUUAAGUGCCUUGUGAAAUCCCACGGCCUAACCGUGGAACUGCUUGGCAUACUGGCGGUCUUGAGCAACCUAGGGGCAAGCGGAACAAAUGGUGGAGCGGUGAAAUGCGUAGAUAUCAUUUGGAACGCCAAUGGUGAAAACAGCUUGCUGGGGGUUUUCUGACGCUGAGACACGAAAGCCAGGGGAGCGAACGGG
RNAcentral lists this ribosomal RNA (253 nucleotides) under uncultured bacterium. Its description in RNAcentral is "partial 16S ribosomal RNA". It matches the Rfam family "Bacterial small subunit ribosomal RNA", at positions 524 to 776 of the family's 1533-position model. The record is from RNAcentral.